GGUUAAGCGACUAAGCGUACACGGUGGAUGCCCUGGCAGUCAGAGGCGAUGAAGGACGUGCUAAUCUGCGAUAAGCGCCGGUAAGGUGAUAUGAACCGUUAUAACCGGCGAUUUCCGAAUGGGGAAACCCAGUGUGACUCGUCACACUAUCAUUAACUGAAUCCAUAGGUUAAUGAGGCGAACCGGGGGAACUGAAACAUCUAAGUACCCCGAGGAAAAGAAAUCAACCGAGAUUCCCCCAGUAGCGGCGAGCGAACGGGGAGGAGCCCAGAGCCUGAAUCAGCAUGUGUGUUAGUGGAAGCGUCUGGAAAGGCGCGCGAUACAGGGUGACAGCCCCGUACACAAAAGCGCAUGUGUUGUGAGCUCGAUGAGUAGGGCGGGACACGUGGUAUCCUGUCUGAAUAUGGGGGGACCAUCCUCCAAGGCUAAAUACUCCUGACUGACCGAUAGUGAACCAGUACCGUGAGGGAAAGGCGAAAAGAACCCCGGCGAGGGGAGUGAAAAAGAACCUGAAACCGUGUACGUACAAGCAGUGGGAGCCCCACCACUAAGCCAGUGGUGAACUCCACAUACGCAUCCUUUGCUGAAGGUGCGGUUAACGGAGCGCAAGCGACGUUCAACCUCAAAAGAAGCAGAGGGGGCUUAGUGGUGGGGUGACUGCGUACCUUUUGUAUAAUGGGUCAGCGACUUAUAUUCUGUAGCAAGGUUAACCGCAUAGGGGAGCCGGAGGGAAACCGAGUCUUAAUUGGGCGUUAAGUUGCAGGGUAUAGACCCGAAACCCGGUGAUCUAGCCAUGGGCAGGUUGAAGGUUGGGUAACACUAACUGGAGGACCGAACCGACUAAUGUUGAAAAAUUAGCGGAUGACCUGUGGCUGGGGGUGAAAGGCCAAUCAAACCGGGAGAUAGCUGGUUCUCCCCGAAAGCUAUUUAGGUAGCGCCUCGUGAAUUCAUCUCCGGGGGUAGAGCACUGUUUCGGCUAGGGGGCCAUCCCGGCUUACCAACCCGAUGCAAACUGCGAAUACCGGAGAAUGUUAUCACGGGAGACACACGGCGGGUGCUAACGUCCGUCGUGAAGAGGGAAACAACCCAGACCGCCAGCUAAGGUCCCAAAGUCAUGGUUAAGUGGGAAACGAUGUGGGAAGGCCCAGACAGCCAGGAUGUUGGCUUAGAAGCAGCCAUCAUUUAAAGAAAGCGUAAUAGCUCACUGGUCGAGUCGGCCUGCGCGGAAGAUGUAACGGGGCUAAACCAUGCACCGAAGCUGCGGCAGCGACGCUGAUGCGUUGUUGGGUAGGGGAGCGUUCUGUAAGCCUGUGAAGGUGGCCUGUGAGGGUUGCUGGAGGUAUCAGAAGUGCGAAUGCUGACAUAAGUAACGAUAAAGCGGGUGAAAAGCCCGCUCGCCGGAAGACCAAGGGUUCCUGUCCAACGUUAAUCGGGGCAGGGUGAGUCGACCCCUAAGGCGAGGCCGAAAGGCGUAGUCGAUGGGAAACGGGUUAAUAUUCCCGUACUUGGUGUUACUGCGAAGGGGGGACGGAGAAGGCUAUGUUGGCCGGGCGACGGUUGUCCCGGUUUAAGCGUGUAGGUGUGUGUUCCAGGUAAAUCCGGUUCACUUUAACACUGAGGCGUGAUGACGAGGCACUACGGUGCUGAAGCAACAAAUGCCCUGCUUCCAGGAAAAGCCUCUAAGCAUCAGGUAACAUCAAAUCGUACCCCAAACCGACACAGGUGGUCAGGUAGAGAAUACCAAGGCGCUUGAGAGAACUCGGGUGAAGGAACUAGGCAAAAUGGUGCCGUAACUUCGGGAGAAGGCACGCUGACACGUAGGUGAAGUGAUUUACUCAUGGAGCUGAAGUCAGUCGAAGAUACCAGCUGGCUGCAACUGUUUAUUAAAAACACAGCACUGUGCAAACACGAAAGUGGACGUAUACGGUGUGACGCCUGCCCGGUGCCGGAAGGUUAAUUGAUGGGGUCAGCGCAAGCGAAGCUCCUGAUCGAAGCCCCGGUAAACGGCGGCCGUAACUAUAACGGUCCUAAGGUAGCGAAAUUCCUUGUCGGGUAAGUUCCGACCUGCACGAAUGGCGUAAUGAUGGCCAGGCUGUCUCCACCCGAGACUCAGUGAAAUUGAACUCGCUGUGAAGAUGCAGUGUACCCGCGGCAAGACGGAAAGACCCCGUGAACCUUUACUAUAGCUUGACACUGAACAUUGAGCCUUGAUGUGUAGGAUAGGUGGGAGGCUUUGAAGUGUGGACGCCAGUCUGCAUGGAGCCGACCUUGAAAUACCACCCUUUAAUGUUUGAUGUUCUAACGUGGACCCGUAAUCCGGGUUGCGGACAGUGUCUGGUGGGUAGUUUGACUGGGGCGGUCUCCUCCUAAAGAGUAACGGAGGAGCACGAAGGUUGGCUAAUCCUGGUCGGACAUCAGGAGGUUAGUGCAAUGGCAUAAGCCAGCUUGACUGCGAGCGUGACGGCGCGAGCAGGUGCGAAAGCAGGUCAUAGUGAUCCGGUGGUUCUGAAUGGAAGGGCCAUCGCUCAACGGAUAAAAGGUACUCCGGGGAUAACAGGCUGAUACCGCCCAAGAGUUCAUAUCGACGGCGGUGUUUGGCACCUCGAUGUCGGCUCAUCACAUCCUGGGGCUGAAGUAGGUCCCAAGGGUAUGGCUGUUCGCCAUUUAAAGUGGUACGCGAGCUGGGUUUAGAACGUCGUGAGACAGUUCGGUCCCUAUCUGCCGUGGGCGCUGGAGAACUGAGGGGGGCUGCUCCUAGUACGAGAGGACCGGAGUGGACGCAUCACUGGUGUUCGGGUUGUCAUGCCAAUGGCACUGCCCGGUAGCUAAAUGCGGAAGAGAUAAGUGCUGAAAGCAUCUAAGCACGAAACUUGCCCCGAGAUGAGUUCUCCCUGAGACUUUAGGUCUCCUGAAGGAACGUUGAAGACGACGACGUUGAUAGGCCGGGUGUGUAAGCGCAGCGAUGCGUUGAGCUAACCGGUACUAAUGAACCGUGAGGCUUAACCUU
This 3007-nucleotide ribosomal RNA is filed under the name Salmonella enterica. RNAcentral's name for it is "23S ribosomal RNA". It matches the Rfam family "Bacterial large subunit ribosomal RNA". RNAcentral also lists the same sequence under 1 other name. Lineage: Bacteria; Pseudomonadati; Pseudomonadota; Gammaproteobacteria; Enterobacterales; Enterobacteriaceae. The record is from RNAcentral.